GGAUGUCUAACUUGAGGAAAAACCCUAUCCUAAUUAGGCCUUACUACAAACCUUAAACAAACCUACCUACUUGGCUAAAACACAUAGCCUAAGAAAACCUACAUUUUCUUCAACCUCCCUAAUAGCCUAAGAGAAAGAGCUUGCCUCACCUUGCAUAAAUGACUCCUAGCUUCUUCUUGAAAUUGCUUAGGCCAUAGCUAGGGGUAUUCAAUUAAUAUCUCUUCUCAAGAGUGAACUGUCAUCCUUUAGUCUUAAUGGUAUAUUCUUUCAUUUUGUAUAUAUGUUCUUUAGACGAUGUUGUAACGCUUAUUUCAUUUGACAAAUUUUUG
RNAcentral lists this long non-coding RNA (329 nucleotides) under Vigna radiata. Its description in RNAcentral is "long non-coding RNA (VRAD_LNC001947)". Lineage: Eukaryota; Viridiplantae; Streptophyta; Magnoliopsida; Fabales; Fabaceae. The record is from RNAcentral.